RNAcentral lists this ribosomal RNA (497 nucleotides) under uncultured bacterium. RNAcentral's name for it is "partial 16S ribosomal RNA". It matches the Rfam family "Bacterial small subunit ribosomal RNA", at positions 28 to 507 of the family's 1533-position model. The record is from RNAcentral.
GAUGAACGCUGGCGGCGUGCCUAAUACAUGCAAGUCGAGCGAACAGAUGAGGGCCUUGCUCCUCUGACGUUAUCCGCGGACGGGUGAGUCACACAUGGAUAACCUCCCUAUAAGACUGGGAUAACUUCGGGAAACCGGAGCUAAUCCCGGAUAAUAUAUUGAACCGUAUGGUUCAAUAGUGAAAGACGGUUUUGCUGUCACUUAUAGAUGCAUCCGCGCCUCAUUAGCUAGUUGGUAUGGUAACGGCUUACCAAGGCGACGAUGCGUAGCCGACCUGAGAGGGGGAUCGGCAAAACGGGAACUGAGACACGGGCCAGACUCCUACGGGAGGCAGCAGUAGGGAAUCUUCGGAAAGGGGCGAAAGCCUGACGGAGAAACGCGGCGGGAGUGAUGAAGGUCUUCGGAUGGUAAAACUCGGUUAUUAGGGAAGAACAAUGGUGGAAGUAACUAUGCACGUCGUGACGGUACCUAAUCAGAAAGCCACGGCUAACUACGUG